GUCCUUUUGCCCUAAUCCACAUAGCACCCCGUCCGCAUCGCGAACACUCUGUUCCGCCCUGUGCCCCUCUUCUCAAACGGUCCCAAACCCUAGGCGCGACCUGAGCCCAUGUCGGGGUCUUACGGAUCCGACGACUACCGCGGCGGCGGCGGUGGCGGCGGCGGAUACGGCGGCCGAGGUGGCGGUGGAGGCGGCCGCGGGCGCGGAGGCGGUGGAGGAGGGUAUGGAGGUGGGGGUGGGGGAGGUUAUGGAGGUGGUGGUGGAGGUGGAUAUGGAAGUGGUGGUGGAGGAUUCGGCGUCGGGGGCGGUAGAGGCGGAGGCGGCGGCUUCGGUGGCGGAGGGCGAGGUGGAGGUGGCCGAGGCGGUGGCGGCCGCGGGGGAGGACGCGAGGGAGGACGCGAGGGCGACUGGGUUUGCCCUGAUGCGAGCUGUGGCAAUGUGAACUUUGCAAGAAGGACUGAGUGCAACAAGUGUGGAACACCUUGCCCAAGUGGAGCUGGAGGUGGAGGUGGUGGCGGCGGUUACAAUAGAUCUGGUGGAGGUGGUGGGGGCUACAACCGUGGUGGUGGUGAUUACGGGUCUGGAGGAGGAGGUGGCUUUGACAGAGAUGGUGCUGGUGGUGGGGGAAGAGGAGGAUACAACCGAAGUGGUGGUAAUGACCGUGGUUUUGAUGAUCACCGUGGUGGUAGAGGUGGCAGUUAUGGGGGACGAGACCAGGAAAACCAAAGGGGCAGUGAAGGUGGCUACAAUGCUGGUGGUUAUGGACAAGCUCCUCCGCAAGGGCCUCCUUCCUUCGGUGGACCCGCCGGUGACUACGCAGCGCCUCCGAGCUCCUAUGGAGGCAACAAUGCUUAUGGUUCAGACUCUGCAGUGCCACCUCCUAAUAGCUAUAGCGGUGGCCCAGCCUCAUACCCACCAAGCUAUGGUGCCCCUCCUCCAAACCAAUAUGGUGGUGGUGCCCCAGGGGGGCAAGGGGGUCUGCCUCCUACAUAUGAUGGUGGCUAUGGUGGUCGAUCCAUGCCAGGGGGUGGGGGUUCUGGUGGUGCACCUCCACCUUAUCAUGGUGGCGGUGGCGGUGGAGGCGGUGGUUAUACUGGUGGUGCUGCUUCUGAGCCAGCGGCAAAGGUUAAGCAGUGUGAUGCAAACUGUGAUGAGACAUGUGACAAUGCAAGAAUUUACAUCUCAAAUUUGCCCCCUGAUGUCACUGUUGAAGAAUUACAGGAGCUAUUUGGAGGAAUCGGCCAGGUUGGAAGGAUCAAGCAAAAACGUGGCUAUAAAGAUCAGUGGCCCUGGAACAUAAAAAUCUAUACUGAUGACUCCGGAAAAGCCAAAGGAGAUGCUUGCCUUGCUUAUGAAGAUCCUUCUGCUGCUCAUUCAGCUGGUGGAUUCUACAACAAUUAUGACAUGAGAGGCUAUAAAAUCAGCGUUGUGAUGGCUGAGAAAUCAGCACCCAGAGCACCCUCUUAUGGUCAUGGUGGUGGCCGUGGUGGUGGCUAUGGUGGCGGUCGCAGGGACAAUUACAGAGAUGGUGGUGGGCAUGGACCCAAUAGAAACCAGGGUGGUGGUUCGCGUUCACGACCUUACUGAAAACAGCCAAUGUUAUUACUAUGAUUGUCUUCUGUGAAACCAUUUCUAUUCCUGUCCUAAGGACUUGUACUCUCAUACAGGCGCAUAAGAGGCAGAUGGAUGUAAGCUCCAAAUGCUGGUAGGUUUGAGAUGUUAUUUCAGCCGGUGGAUCACUCCUGUAAGCUUUGGAUUUUGCUGCGAAGAACAGGCAGGGCAUUUUUGUUAUGUGAUGGGUUUGUCAGGUUCCGUAUAUAUUAAACCUAUCGAGUAGCGUACAUAGACUGCACCAAAUCCGUUGCAGUUCACAUUGACGUGGGAUUGAACUAGAAUGUAGCAUAUACUUAGUUUAGGUUCCUGCUAACUUCUGAUUUCAUAUAGAUAGUAGGACAUAUAUCCCUCUUGGUAAAAAUUUCGGUCGAAAAUAACAUUCUCUUUUGGGUGUUGAUUACUUGAUUCUGCCCUAGUAAAGAAAAUCUCAGUGUACACGAAACUGCUGGAUCUGUUGUGAGGCUGCAUCUUCGUUGUGCGGCACCAUAUCUCCGCAGCACAAUUUGGCAUAAAUCAUACUGCGGCGUUAUCCGCUCUUUUUA
Molecule: RNA transcript, 2156 nt
Organism: Panicum hallii
Lineage: Eukaryota; Viridiplantae; Streptophyta; Magnoliopsida; Poales; Poaceae
Gene name: transcription initiation factor TFIID subunit 15b
Exons: 8
Source: RefSeq, a predicted model, not a curated record